CGGGAAGCCAUAUGGCGACAUAGAGCGGAACCCGAAAACCUGUCUCAGUUCGGAUUGGAGUCUGCAACCCGACUCCAUGAAGCUGGAUUCGCUAGUAAUCGCGCAUCAGCCACGGCGCGGUGAAUACGUUCCCGGGCCUUGUACACACCGCCCGUCAAGCCAUGGAAGCCGGGAGUGCCUGAAGUGCGUGAGCGCAAGCAGCGCCCUAAGGUAAAACCGGUGACUGGGGCUAAGUCGUAACAAGGUAGC
Molecule: ribosomal RNA, 249 nt
Filed under: uncultured bacterium
Lineage: Bacteria
Description: partial 16S ribosomal RNA
Rfam family: Bacterial small subunit ribosomal RNA
Source: RNAcentral